RNAcentral lists this long non-coding RNA (259 nucleotides) under Chinchilla lanigera (long-tailed chinchilla). RNAcentral describes it as "lncRNA (ENSCLAG00000025276.1)". Lineage: Eukaryota; Metazoa; Chordata; Mammalia; Rodentia; Chinchillidae. The record is from RNAcentral.
ACUUUCUCUAUGUCUAAGAUUUACACUGAGCUUCCUGUUUAUUUCUCCUGACCCUUUAGGUGAGCAAAAGCAAUGAAGAUAAAUAGUAGCCUUGAUGUCAGGAACUCAACCAAUCCUCUGUAGCCUCCACACCAGAGAAUGCAUUUGCUACAUUUGCAGACGUUCUUCCAUUUAAGAGGUUCCUGGGAGCAGAAGGCCUGGCAUCCUUAACAAGGGUAUGGAAUGAACUGACUUCAUCUUCCCUUACUGCAACAAGGAG